UUCGGAAGGGAUGUGUUUAUUAGAUAAAAAACCAAUGCCCUUCGGGGCUUUUUGGUGAUUCAUGAUAACUUUACGGAUCGCAUAGCCUUGCGCUGGCGACGGUUCAUUCAAAUUUCUGCCCUAUCAACUUUCGAUGGUAAGGUAUUGGCUUACCAUGGUUUCAACGGGUAACGGGGAAUUAGGGUUCGAUUCCGGAGAGGGAGCCUGAGAAACGGCUACCACAUCCAAGGAAGGCAGCAGGCGCGCAAAUUACCCAAUCCCGACACGGGGAGGUAGUGACAAUAAAUACUGAUACAGGGCUCUUUUGGGUCUUGUAAUUGGAAUGAGUACAAUUUAAACCUCUUAACGAGGAACAAUUGGAGGGCAAGUCUGGUGCCAGCAGCCGCGGUAAUUCCAGCUCCAAUAGCGUAUAUUAAAGUUGUUGCAGUUAAAAAGCUCGUAGUUGAAACUUGGGUCUGGCUGGCGGGUCCGCCUCACCGCGUGCACUCGUCCGGCCGGGCCUUCCUUCUGAAGAACCUCAUGCCCUUUACUGGGCGUGUUGGGGAAUCAGGACUUUUACUUUGAAAAAAUUAGAGUGUUCAAAGCAGGCCUUUGCUCGAAUACGUUAGCUGGAAUAAUAAAAUAGGGCGUGCGUUUCUAUUUUGUUGGUUUCUAGAGACGCCGCAAUGAUUAACAGGAACAGUCGGGGGCAUCAGUAUUCAGUUGUCAGAGGUGAAAUUCUUGGAUUUACUGAAGACUAACUACUGCGAAAGCAUUUGCCAAGGAUGUUUUCAUUAAUCAGUGAACGAAAGUUAGGGGAUCGAAGACGAUCAGAUACCGUCGUAGUCUUAACCGUAAACUAUGCCGACUAGGGAUCGGGCGAUGUUCUUUUUCUGACUCGCUCGGCACCUUACGAGAAAUCAAAGUUU
This 908-nucleotide ribosomal RNA is filed under the name Bipolaris oryzae. Its description in RNAcentral is "SSU rRNA". It matches the Rfam family "Eukaryotic small subunit ribosomal RNA", at positions 191 to 1106 of the family's 1831-position model. The record is from RNAcentral. Lineage: Eukaryota; Fungi; Ascomycota; Dothideomycetes; Pleosporales; Pleosporaceae.